UACGUAGGGGGCUAGCGUUGUCCGGAAUCAUUGGGCGUAAAGAGCGUGUAGGCGGUCCGGUAAGUCCGCUGUGAAAGUCGGGGGCUCAACCCUCGAAUGCCGGUGGAUACUGUCGGGCUAGAGUACGGAAGAGGCGAGUGGAAUUCCUGGUGUAGCGGUGAAAUGCGCAGAUAUCAGGAGGAACACCUAUUGCGAAGGCAGCUCGCUGGGACGUAACUGACGCUGAGGCGCGAAAGUGUGGGGAGCGAACAGG
This 253-nucleotide ribosomal RNA is filed under the name uncultured bacterium. RNAcentral's name for it is "partial 16S ribosomal RNA". It matches the Rfam family "Bacterial small subunit ribosomal RNA", at positions 524 to 776 of the family's 1533-position model. The record is from RNAcentral.